Molecule: unclassified non-coding RNA, 324 nt
Filed under: soil metagenome
Description: partial contains 5.8S ribosomal RNA, internal transcribed spacer 2, and large subunit ribosomal RNA
Rfam family: 5.8S ribosomal RNA (bases 1-120)
Source: RNAcentral
GAUGAAGAACGUAGCGAAAUGCGAUAAGUAGUGUGAAUUGCAGAAUUCAGUGAAUCAUCGAAUCUUUGAACGCACAUUGCGCCCCUUGGUAUUCCAUGGGGCAUGCCUGUUCGAGCGUCAUUUGUACCUUCAAGCUUUGCUUGGUGUUGGGUGUUUGUCCCGAGGGACUCGCCUUAAAGUAAUUGGCAGCCAGUGUUUGGUUUUGAAGCGCAGCACAAGUCGCGAUUCAAGGCUACACGCCCGCUUCCACAAGCCUUUUUUCACUUUUGACCACGGAUCAGGUAGGGAUACCCGCUGAACUUAAGCAUAUCAAUAAGCGGAGGA